CCUACGGGUGACAGCAGUGAGGAAUAUUGGUCAAUGGACGAGAGUCUGAACCAGCCAAGUAGCGUGAAGGAUGACUGCCCUAUGGGUUGUAAACUUCUUUUAUAAAGGAAUAAAACGAGGCACGUGUGCCUUUUUGCAUGUACUUUAUGAAUAAGGAUCGGCUAACUCCGUGCCAGCAGCCGCGGUAAUACGGAGGAUCCGAGCGUUAUCCGGAUUUAUUGGGUUUAAAGGGAGCGUAGAUGGGUUGUUAAGUCAGUUGUGAAAGUUUGCGGCUCAACCGUAAAAUUGCAAUUGAUACUGGCAGUCGUGAGUACAGUUGAGGUAAGCGGAAUUCGUGGUGUAGCGGUGAAAUGCUUAGAUAUCACGAAGAACCCCGAUUGCGAAGGCAGCUUACUAAACUGUGACUGACAUUGAUGCUCGAAAGUGUGGGUAUCAAACAGGAUUAGAUACCCCAGUAGUC
Molecule: ribosomal RNA, 460 nt
Filed under: uncultured bacterium
Lineage: Bacteria
Description: partial 16S ribosomal RNA
Rfam family: Bacterial small subunit ribosomal RNA
Source: RNAcentral